GACAGAGGGUGCAAACGUUGUUCGGAAUUACUGGGCGUAAAGCGCACGUAGGCGGCUUCGCAAGUCGGAUGUGAAAUCCCUCGGCUCAACCGAGGACGUGCAUACGAAACUGCGGAGCUUGAGUGCUGAAGAGGAUCGCGGAAUUCCCGGUGUAGAGGUGAAAUUCGUAGAUAUCGGGAGGAACACCAGUGGCGAAGGCGGCGAUCUGGGCAGACACUGACGCUGAGGUGCGAAAGCGUGGGGAGCAAACAGG
Molecule: ribosomal RNA, 253 nt
Filed under: uncultured bacterium
Lineage: Bacteria
Description: partial 16S ribosomal RNA
Rfam family: Bacterial small subunit ribosomal RNA
Source: RNAcentral